GUCCACGCCCUAAACGAUGUCAACUGGUUGUUGGGGAGUGAAAUCCCUUACGUAACGAAGCUAACGCGUGAAGUUGACCGCCUGGGGAGUACGGUCGCAAGAUUAAAACUCAAAGGAAUUGACGGGGACCCGCACAAGCGGUGGAUGAUGUGGAUUAAUUCGAUGCAACGCGAAAAACCUUACCUACCCUUGACAUGUCCAGAACCCUGCAGAGAUGCGGGGGUGCCCGAAAGGGAAUUGGAACACAGGUGCUGCAUGGCUGUCGU
Molecule: ribosomal RNA, 266 nt
Filed under: uncultured bacterium
Lineage: Bacteria
Description: partial 16S ribosomal RNA
Rfam family: Bacterial small subunit ribosomal RNA
Source: RNAcentral